Molecule: ribosomal RNA, 368 nt
Filed under: uncultured eukaryote
Lineage: Eukaryota
Description: SSU rRNA
Rfam family: Eukaryotic small subunit ribosomal RNA
Source: RNAcentral
AGCUCCAAUAGCGUAUACAUAAGUUGUUGCAGUUAAAAAGCUCGUAGUUGAACUUCUGGUUGGGCACAGGCUCGGCAUUCGCCAGUCUGUUGUCUAAUCAUCCGUCUGCAACCCUACAUCUGCCUUCACUGGUAAGAGUAGGUGAGCAGACAAUUUACCUUGAAAAAAUUAGAGUGUUUCAGGCAGGUACUCGCCGGAAUACAUUAGCAUGGAAUAAUGGAAUAGGACUCCGAUCCUUUGUUGGUUUCGGGAUCAGAGUAAUGAUUAAUAGGAACAGAUGGGGGCAUUAGUAUUUAAUUGUCAGAGGUGAAAUUCUUGGAUUUAUUAAAGACUAACUAAUGCGAAAGCAUUUGCCAAGGAUGUUUUCA